AGUUUGACAAGCAGAUCAGCUCAGUUGUGAAAUCUUGCCUUUUCCAAUUAAGGAUUAUCUCCAAAAUUGACCCGUCUGUCUUGCAUUGCCUUAAUAUCCUCCUUGCUACUGCAAUUUUCUCUAUUUUCAUCAGAUAUGAAUCGGGUAUUGAUUAUUGUUCAAAUGUAAAAAAUAAAUAAAUAAAUAAUAAUCACUACAUUACACCAAUACUAGCCUCUUUACACUUGUUCCAAAUUCUAGAAUUCUAUUGUUUAUCUUCAAACCUCUGCAUGGUCUUUGAAAACGUCCCCCGCAGCACUGCUGGGCCCCUCAGAUCCUCCCACCAUGGACUGCUGGCUAUCCGGUCUCAGCUGAAAAAGUCUGCUGAUACGGCUUUCACCAUAGCUGCGCUGAGAAUGAAACAGUCUCCUUGAAUACAUAAGACAGAAAACCACAUCGCCAGCCUGUCAACACACACAGCCCUCUCCCUCGGCCUGCAAGCUGUCUCAGACAAACACAAAUUCUUCUAUACCUCCUUGUAACUUUUGGACAGCUAGAGGUGAUGGUGGAGCCUGGAGGGAUGGAGUCCAAAGAGGCUACUCUAACAAAAAGCUACACUCCGGGGCUUACUGCUAGAUACAACAUUUACAGCAAAAAUUGUUAGUUCCCAUCUGAAAGAUGAGGGGCUGACUACUUGAUGACUGCUAGCAAAGUGAACAGAUUCUCUGAGUCACCGUGAAUUCAACAGUCUUACCUCCCUCUCUCACUCAAGGUCCAAUGAAGGAUUUUUUGUAUAAUCCCUAAAGAAAAAGCAUAAAUAAAACUGAAAUCCUAUGACCUUGCACAUUUAAAGAAAAUUGGAACAACAUCAGCGCUUCUUCUCUCUGGAAAUGGGAAAGCCAAGAUUAACCUUCAGGUCUCACUGUGAGAAUCCACCUGGUGCUGAAUUAAAGGAAUGUCUCCUGGUGCAAAACUGUUGGCACUCUUAUGAAAUA
Siniperca chuatsi (mandarin fish) is the source of this 974-nucleotide long non-coding RNA. RefSeq lists it as uncharacterized. The record is from RefSeq and is a predicted model, not a curated record. The transcript has 5 exons. Lineage: Eukaryota; Metazoa; Chordata; Actinopteri; Centrarchiformes; Sinipercidae.